AGUGAACGCUGGCGGUAGGCCUAACACAUGCAAGUCGAACGGCAGCACAGUAAGAGCUUGCUCUUACGGGUGGCGAGUGGCGGACGGGUGAGGAAUACAUCGGAAUCUACUUUUUCGUGGGGGAUAACGUAGGGAAACUUACGCUAAUACCGCAUACGACCUACGGGUGAAAGCAGGGGAUCUUCGGACCUUGCGCGAUUGAAUGAGCCGAUGUCGGAUUAGCUCGUUGGCGGGGUAAAGGCCCACCAAGGCGACGAUCCGUAGCUGGUCUGAGAGGAGGAUAAGCGAGAAGGGGAAGAGGAAGCGGCGGAGAAUAAGAGGGGAGGGAGGAGUGGGGACUAGUGGAGAAGGGGGGGAAGGAAGAUCCGUAAAUGCCGCGGGAGUGAUGAAGGAAGGAGGGAUGUAAAGCUCUUUUACACGGGACGAUACUGACAGUACAGGGAGAAUAAGCUCCGGCUAACUCCGUG
Molecule: ribosomal RNA, 467 nt
Filed under: uncultured bacterium
Lineage: Bacteria
Description: partial 16S ribosomal RNA
Rfam family: Bacterial small subunit ribosomal RNA
Source: RNAcentral